CGGGGUGCAGCAGGCGCGAAAACUCCACAAUGUACGACAGUACGAUGGGGUUAUCUCGAGUGCAGUCCGAUAAGGGCUGCUUUUCCAUAGAGUAAUAUCCUGUGGGAAUAAGAGGGGGGCAAGACUGGUGUCAGCCGCCGCGGUAACACCAGCCCCUCGAGUGGUGGGGACUAUUAUUUGGUCUAAAGCGUCCGUAGCUGGCUGUAUCCGUCCCCCGUUAAAUCCAGCGUCCUAAGCGUUGGACCGCGGGUGAUACCAUACAACUAGAGGGUGGGAUAGGUGAGCGGUAUUUCUGGGGUAGGGGCGAAAUCCUUUGAUCCCAGGAGGACCACCAGUGGCGAAGGCUGCUCACUAGAACACGCCUGACGGUCAGGGACGAAAGCUGGGGCAGCGAACCGGAUUAGAUACCCGGGUAAUCCCAGCUGUAAACGAUGCCAGCUAGGUGUUGGGUCGGCCACGCGCCGCCCCAGUGCCGCAGGGAAGCCGUUAAGCUGGCCACCUGGGGAGUACGGCCGCAAGGCUGAAACUUAAAGGAAUUGGCGGGGGAGCACAAGGGCGAUUCGCG
This 565-nucleotide ribosomal RNA is filed under the name uncultured archaeon. RNAcentral describes it as "bacterial SSU rRNA". It matches the Rfam family "Archaeal small subunit ribosomal RNA", at positions 326 to 897 of the family's 1478-position model. The record is from RNAcentral.